CUUUACUGUCAGAGGAAAAUUGGAAGUGAACAAGAUUUUUGCAGAGAUUUUCCCUGGUCAAGAGUGCAACAUGAGUCGUGGAUAUGAACUUGACUGUCAGAUGUACAUUGAUUGGAAAGUGAACAAGAUAUCUGCACUGAGAAUGAAUGAAGUUGAAGAAAGUU
This is a long non-coding RNA of Dendronephthya gigantea, 164 nucleotides long. RefSeq lists it as uncharacterized. Lineage: Eukaryota; Metazoa; Cnidaria; Anthozoa; Malacalcyonacea; Nephtheidae. The transcript has 3 exons. The record is from RefSeq and is a predicted model, not a curated record.